RNAcentral lists this ribosomal RNA (497 nucleotides) under uncultured bacterium. Its description in RNAcentral is "partial 16S ribosomal RNA". It matches the Rfam family "Bacterial small subunit ribosomal RNA", at positions 28 to 507 of the family's 1533-position model. The record is from RNAcentral.
GAUGAACGCUGGCGGCGUGCCUAAUACAUGCCAGUCGAGCGAACAGACGAGGAGCUUGCUCCUCUGACGUUAGCGGCGGACGGGUGAGUAACACGUGGAUAACCUACCUAUAAGACUGGGAUAACUUCGGGAAACCGGAGCUAAUACCGGAUAACAUGUUGAACCGCAUGGUUCAACAGUGAAAGACGGUCUUGCUGUCACUUAUAGAUGGAUCCGCGCCGCAUUAGCUAGUUGGUAAGGUAACGGCUUACCAAGGCAACGAUGCGUAGCCGACCUGAGAGGGUGAUCGGCCACACUGGAACUGAGACACGGUCCAGACUCCUACGGGAGGCGGCAGUAGGGAAUCUUCCGCAAUGGGCGAAAGCCUGACGGAGCAACGCCGCGUGAGUGAUGAAGGUCUUCGGAUCGUAAAACUCUGUUAUUAGGGAAGAACAAAUGUGUAAGUAACUAUGCACGUCUUGACGGUACCUAAUCAGAAAGCCACGGCUAACUACGUG